UACGGAGGGUGCAAGCGUUAUCCGGAUUCACUGGGUUUAAAGGGUGCGUAGGUGGGCAAGUAAGUCAGUGGUGAAAUCUCCGGGCUUAACCCGGAAACUGCCAUUGAUACUAUUUGUCUUGAAUACUGUGGAGGUCAGCGGAAUAUGUCAUGUAGCGGUGAAAUGCUUAGAUAUCAGGAAGAACACCCGUGGCGAAGGCGGCUCUCUGGGACGGUACUGACGCUGAGACGCGAAAGCGUGGGGAGCGAACAGG
This 253-nucleotide ribosomal RNA is filed under the name uncultured bacterium. RNAcentral describes it as "partial 16S ribosomal RNA". It matches the Rfam family "Bacterial small subunit ribosomal RNA", at positions 524 to 776 of the family's 1533-position model. The record is from RNAcentral.